GUCACAACCUAUACACUGCAUUAAAAUGAAGAAAAUUUGCGAGUCUUACAUCACUGAACAUGUAUAUAUUAUAUACAUGGAAUUUAAUAAAAAAUAUAUCAUUACAAUAUAAUAAGACAAUUAAAUAAACUAGAGCUACAGGUACCUUAGAACUAUGUGAGAGCAAUUGCAAAGGAAUACAAUUACAAUUGCUGUGUUGAGUGGUUAUAUUACUACCUCAAAAAAAAAACAAGCAGAAACUCAACAUCUCGAGCGAAGGGUCUUUGCUCAAAACAUUCAGUUUCUGUUUGCUUUUUUUUUCAGGUAGUAAUAUAACCACUCAGCACAGCAAUUUCACAUUGGUACUACCCACGCUGGUACUGGUAUACAGACAGUUUUAAUACAAUUACAAGCCUGCCAGCAUGAAUUGAACCUGCAGCCCUGUAAUUCUACUGCAGCCCUCAGACCUAAAGAGUCCUUUUGCCAAGAUGUAACUUUCUGUAUAAUUAUACCAUGAUGGUGGUGUCACUGGUAGUAUAUUAAAUAAUCUGGGAUGACACUAGUAUUGUAUAAAUGAACUCUUGGUUAGCUUGAUGGAUUCUUGGCGCUUGGACUCUCAGGGCUUGAUGGACUCUCGGCUGUUAAGGAACUGUUCAGAAUCACAGGGCAACAGGUUCCAUUCCCGGCACAGUACUUAUUACAUAGUUAUUGUUCAAAAUUUCCAUCUACAGAAAUUUGGCUUUAACCCAUUGAGUGGCAACACUCUCUCCUUCAUGAGUAAAAUUGUCUGGCAUUAGACAGAACAAAUAAUAAGGUAGAGCCCAUUGCCACAUAAAAGGUUAACAUAAUUCUCUUCAAUGUAGAAUAUUUACAAGUUAGUAUAAUAUACCUGUACUGCAUGUAGUGUUGUCACUGCUCAAUCAAGCAUGUCAUACAAGUUCACUAGUUAAAAUUUAAAAGUACAAGCUUCAUACCACAAGUCAGCAACUCCAUUCCUUGUCAGGUUUGUUAAUCCAUAAACAUACACUCUCCAGCAAAAGAAUAACAUUUUCCAAAUAGACUAUGCAGUACUUAAAAUGCCAUUAAUGAUUAUAUAUAUUGCCACUUGUUUAGACAACUUGCCUUCUGCUGGGAAGCUUUUAUUAAUAACUUUUCAAUCAGGAUCAGGAUAUAUAAUGAAUCCAUAUUAAAUACAAUCUCUAUUAAGAAAAAAAUACAUAUUAAGGUUGAUAUAUAAUGGUAGCAAAUUAUUGAUUGAUUGACAAUGAAUUUCCUAUUUUUGGUUAGUGUACAAAGCAAGAAAUACAAAAUUCAAAUGCUUUCACUUGACAUGUUUAAUGUAAGGCUAGCAUGCAAUUGAAGUAACAUCUGCAUCCAAUACAACUAUUCUCACUGGUAAAAGACUGUUUAAAAUACUGGUGCAUAACAACUGUUUUUUCCAAAAUUCCUAAUUGAAAAAUAUCAUUCUAUAUAAUCCAGCAAGGUAGAUUUAGUGGCUGUUUAUAUGAGGUGAUGGCACCUGUGUACCUGAG
Molecule: long non-coding RNA, 1511 nt
Filed under: Paramuricea clavata
Lineage: Eukaryota; Metazoa; Cnidaria; Anthozoa; Malacalcyonacea; Plexauridae
Source: RNAcentral